Molecule: ribosomal RNA, 247 nt
Filed under: Giardia sp.
Lineage: Eukaryota; Fornicata; Diplomonadida; Hexamitidae
Description: partial small subunit ribosomal RNA
Source: RNAcentral
GGAGUACUACGCUAACCCCAAGGAUACAAGCCAUGCAAGCAAACACGAGGUGAACGAAGGGGCGGACGGCUCGGUACAACGGUGGGAGUCGGACCGGGGGUGAAGGCUAGACGGAUACGGCUGGCAACCCAGCACCAAGACGAGUGCUCAAGAGCGAGGAGGGAGAGGACGCGAAGGAGCGAAUGCCCGGAGGAGGUUCCGAGGUAUUACCUGGUCGGUAGAGUAGUGGUCUACGGAGGGGAUGAUG